This 205-nucleotide ribosomal RNA is filed under the name uncultured bacterium. RNAcentral describes it as "partial 16S ribosomal RNA". It matches the Rfam family "Bacterial small subunit ribosomal RNA", at positions 524 to 725 of the family's 1533-position model. The record is from RNAcentral.
UACGUAGGGCGCAAGCGUUAUCCGGAAUUAUUGGGCGUAAAGAGCUCGUAGGUGGUUUGUCGCGUUGUUCGUGAAAACUCACAGCUCAACUGUGGGCGUGCGGGCGAUACGGGCAGAACUUGAGUACUGCAGGGGAGACUGGAAUUCCUGGUGUAAGCGGUGAAAUGCGCAGAUAAUCAGGAGGAACACCGGUGGCGAAGGCGGG